Molecule: ribosomal RNA, 743 nt
Filed under: uncultured bacterium
Lineage: Bacteria
Description: bacterial SSU rRNA
Rfam family: Bacterial small subunit ribosomal RNA
Source: RNAcentral
AGUGGCGGACGGGUGAGUAACACGUAGGUAACCUGCCCCGGAGCGGGGGAUAACAUUUGGAAACAGAUGCUAAUACCGCAUAACAACAAAAGCCACAUGGCUUUUGUUUGAAAGAUGGCCUUGGCUAUCACUCUGGGAUGGACCUGCGGUGCAUUAGCUAGUUGGUAAGGUAACGGCUUACCAAGGCGAUGAUGCAUAGCCGAGUUGAGAGACUGAUCGGCCACAAUGGAACUGAGACACGGUCCAUACUCCUACGGGAGGCAGCAGUAGGGAAUCUCCCACAAUGGGCGCAAGCCUGAUGGAGCAACACCGCGUGAGUGAAGAAGGGUUUCGGCUCGUAAAGCUCUGUUGUUGGAGAAGAACGUGCGUGAGAGUAACUGUUCACGCAGUGACGGUAUCCAACCAGAAAGUCACGGCUAACUACGUGCCAGCAGCCGCGGUAAUACGUAGGUGGCAAGCGUUAUCCGGAUUUAUUGGGCGUAAAGCGAGCGCAGGCGGUUGCUUAGGUCUGAUGUGAAAGCCUUCGGCUUAACCGAAGAAGUGCAUCGGAAACCGGGCAACUUGAGUGCAGAAGAGGACAGUGGAACUCCAUGUGUAGCGGUGGAAUGCGUAGAUAUAUGGAAGAACACCAGUGGCGAAGGCGGCUGUCUGGUCUGCAACUGACGCUGAGGCUCGAAAGCAUGGGUAGCGAACAGGAUUAGAUACCCUGGUAGUCCAUGCCGUAAACGAUGAGUGCUAGGUGU